GGCAGACGGGUGAGUAAUGUAUAGGAAUCUACCUAGUAGUACGGAAUAAUUGUUGGAAACGGCAACUAAUACCGUAUACGCCCUACGGGGGAAAAAUUUAUUGCUAUUAGAUGAGCCUAUAUUAGAUUAGUUAGUUGGUGAGGUAAAGGCUUACCAAGACAAUGAUCUAUAGCUGAUCUGAGAGGAUGAUCAGCCACACUGGAACUGAGAUACGGUCCAGACUCCUACGGGAGGCAGCAGUGGGGAAUAUUGGACAAUGGGCGCAAGCCUGAUCCAGCCAUGCCGCGUGAGUGAAGAAGGCCUUAGGGUUGUAAAGCUCUUUCACCGGUGAAGAUAAUGACGGUAGCCGGAGAAGAAGCCCCGGCUAACUUCGUGCCAGCAGCCGCGGUAAUACGAAGGGGGCUAGCGUUGUUCGGAUUUACUGGGCGUAAAGCGCGCGUAGGCGGAUAGAUAAGUCAGAGGUGAAAUCCCGGGGCUCAACCCCGGAAUUGCCUUUGAUACUGUUUAUCUUGAGUGCAGAAGAGGUAAGUGGAAUUCCGAGUGUAGAGGUGAAAUUCGUAGAUAUUCGGAGGAACACCAGUGGCGAAGGCGGCUUACUGGUCUGCAACUGACGCUGAGGCGCGAAAGCGUGGGGAGCAAACAGGAUUAGAUACCCUGGUAGUCCACGCUGUAAACGAUGGAAGCCAGCCGUCGGCAAAUUUAUUUGUCGGUGGCGCAGCUAACGCAUUAAGCUUCCCGCCUGGGGAGUACGGUCGCAAGAUUAAAACUCAA
This 771-nucleotide ribosomal RNA is filed under the name uncultured Wolbachia sp. RNAcentral describes it as "bacterial SSU rRNA". It matches the Rfam family "Bacterial small subunit ribosomal RNA", at positions 97 to 904 of the family's 1533-position model. The record is from RNAcentral. Lineage: Bacteria; Pseudomonadati; Pseudomonadota; Alphaproteobacteria; Rickettsiales; Anaplasmataceae.